AUACCUUUCUCGGCCUUUUGGCUAAGAUCAAGUGUAGUAUCUGUUCUUAUCAGUUUAAUAUCUGAUACGUGGGCCAUCGGCCCACACGAUAUUAAAUUGGCCCACACGAUAUUAAAUUAAUUUUUCCAGGUGAGUUCCCAUCACGGCAGCUUGCUGCUGGGGUUCUCGAGCGUCGCCUGUGUUUUGCACUACAGCACUGGCCUGGCGCACCCUCC
RNAcentral lists this small nuclear RNA (215 nucleotides) under Salix viminalis (osier). It matches the Rfam family "U2 spliceosomal RNA". From Rfam's summary of the family: U2 is a small nuclear RNA (snRNA) component of the spliceosome (involved in pre-mRNA splicing). Complementary binding between U2 snRNA (in an area lying towards the 5' end but 3' to hairpin I) and the branchpoint sequence (BPS) of the intron results the bulging out of an unpaired adenosine, on the BPS, which initiates a nucleophilic attack at the intronic 5' splice site, thus starting the first of two transesterification reactions that mediate splicing. Lineage: Eukaryota; Viridiplantae; Streptophyta; Magnoliopsida; Malpighiales; Salicaceae. The record is from RNAcentral.